Triticum aestivum (bread wheat) is the source of this 1283-nucleotide long non-coding RNA. RefSeq lists it as uncharacterized. The record is from RefSeq and is a predicted model, not a curated record. Lineage: Eukaryota; Viridiplantae; Streptophyta; Magnoliopsida; Poales; Poaceae. The transcript is spliced from 2 exons.
CGAUGAGUUGAUGUAGACCGGACCGCUGAGGCGGCGAUUUGCGCACAUCCGUUAAGCAAUUUUGACAUAAUGCGGAUGUAGACGUGGGCUCCAACGACAGUGCGCGAGGGCCGGAUCAGACUUUAGUCAUGAGGUAAUUGACUUGUUACGGCCGCGGCGGUUUAGAACCAGCGGGGCGCCCGGCUGUUUGAAUCCGGCGACUCAGCGGAUGUGGCCGCUUGCAGCAGCGGUUCACAGGCGGAAGCAGGCGGCUCAGAGGCGCAGCGGCAUGGGCGGAGCCCAGCGGUGGAGGCGAAACAGCGAGGUCGUAGAAUCUUCAUCGAUCCCCGUGUCUCCGUGUUCAUCCGGGUCGUUGUCAGUUUGCCAUCCCCGAUCCGUAUCCUCCAGGUCGUGGGCUCGUGCCUCCUUUUUUUUUCAGGCAACAGCCAGUAGCACUUUCAGGCGAGCACGCAAGGGGGACACGGACGCGCGGCGACCUGGUAAAGGCGGGAGCAGAGGAGAGGUGCCAGGCCAGAGCGGAGGCAACAGCUCGGCUCAACCAUGGCGUGAGGCCUCAGCAGAGAAGCGGAGGCGCGAGGCGAGCCGCAACCACAGGGGCGCCGGGCGGUGCUGCGCGGAAGCCGGUCUGAGGUGAAGGGUAGCAAGGCGGCCAGCGGCUCUCCCCGACUACAGUUGAGGCGAGCGUCCGCGGCGGCUGAGGCGCGGCAGAGGCAAGGCCAGCUCCGGGAAUACGCAUAUGCAACAUAUGCAGUCAACGGUGGACCAAUCUCCUUCCUCCUGGCAUAGUCCUUCCUUUCCCUGGUUCUCACUUUCCUUUCUUGUUUUAUUCAGAUCUCAUCCAGUCUAGCACGUCCUUUGUGAGGACACGGAGCAUCUUGCUUGAUACGAAGUAAGCAACCACGGCGGCUUAAAGAACCGGUUUAUAGGCGCUGCGGUGAAGGCGGAGCUCCGGCAGCGCAGCAGUUUGGAGCAAAGCACGGACGGGCCACGCAGAGGCGGACGGGCGAGGCGGUCUGUUACAGCGGAGGCAGCAACUGCCACGGAAGCCCUCCCGGUGACUCGGAGCAGGGCCGAGGCUGCGACGGCGGUCGACCCCGACGGCGGAGGCCGGCUUGAAAGUGAGGCGGCCAAGCAGCUUUAGGAGAUGACUUGUCUUCUUUUUCUUCCUUGUGAAAAAAAGGCAGAGGCGGUAGUGCCUAUGCCUGAUGUGUCUCGGGAGUCGGGACUGUAGCUUCAAAGAUGUGACAACCCUGUUAUUUGUUUAGACCAACUGGAUUUGACCA